GACGGCUCAACGAUGCGACUGGAUGUUGGGUGCACUUGGCACCCAGUAUCGAAGCUAACGCGUUAAGUUCGCCGCCUGGGGAGUACGGUCGCAAGACUGAAACUCAAAGGAAUUGACGGGGGCCCGCACAAGCGGUGGAGUAUGUGGUUUAAUUCGAUGCAACGCGAAGAACCUUACCUGGUCUUGACAUCCACGGAACUUUCCAGAGAUGGAUUGGUGCCUUCGGGAACCGUGAGACAGGUGCUGCAUGGCUGUCGUCAGCUCGUGUCGUGAGAUGUUGGGUUAAGUCCCGCAACGAGCGCAACCCUUGUCCUUAGUUGCCAGCACGUAAUGGUGGGAACUCUAAGGAGACCGCCGGUGACAAACCGGAGGAAGGUGGGGGAUGACGUA
Molecule: ribosomal RNA, 390 nt
Filed under: Pseudoxanthomonas sp.
Lineage: Bacteria; Pseudomonadati; Pseudomonadota; Gammaproteobacteria; Lysobacterales; Lysobacteraceae
Description: bacterial SSU rRNA
Rfam family: Bacterial small subunit ribosomal RNA
Source: RNAcentral